UAUGUCUUUCUCAGACUUUUUAUUCUGUACAUAUUUUAUUACUAGAACAGAAGUCUGAGCAUGUUGUUGUAUUUUUUGCAGGACCUGGGCAUGUGUUCCCAGAAACCUGGUAAUUGAGGCAACAUGGAUUUUGGAAUGCAGAACAUCAGAACUACCAAACAUGCCCUGGAACAGAGAAUCACUACGAUACUCACCUUGUGCCACAUUGCAACUGAAUUUUGAAGCUGCCAAGGGCCAGGACAGUCCUGUGAAAUUCACUGACAGCUGGAUGGACUUGGGAGGGAGAACACAUCUGAUGGGGUUUUGGAAGCUCAGCCGCAGUGGAAAGUAACCGGAAUGCAGCCAUUGUCUGGCAGUGUCACUGGCACCAAGAGAUUUAUUGGAGGAGGUACAGAGGGAGCCAUAUACAUCAGCUGAUGGCAGGUGGGGAUGGCAGCCUGGGUCUCCCAGGAUGAUGGAAUCACAUCUCACUCCUGCAGUAUGGAUGUACGGAUUUACUUCACCUGCUGGCAGGCAGGGACUGUCUCUAUGGGAUCAUGGGAUCACUCCUGCAAUACAAAUAUACUGCAAAGCAGGAUUUUUUUGGGUAAAAACUUAUACACAUGGGAGGGCUUCAUGUGCCUGGUUACUUCUUUUGAUUGCUUUGAAUUCAUGAGAGUUCAGUUAUGUAAAUCUGGUGCAGGCUGGGUAAAAUUUAAUGGAUUGUCUCAUUUUGCACCAACUCACAAAGUAGCUGGUAGUAGGCAGCCAGACAAUUGCUCUACCUGACGUCUCUGUUUUCCCAUUUACCAAACUUCCUUUUUCAUGAUUCAGGUAUCUGUGGUCUUUUCCUCCUCACCUGGGAUUUGGACUGGUUUAUCAAGUUUUGAUUUCCUGUCUUCUGGUAAUAUUUAGCUCAUGCCAUUUCUCUGAGAAAUUAUUAUUGCAACUGCUGAACGCCAUUUGUGGUCAAAACACCAUAGUAACAUUAUUCAUAUACAUUAUCUCUGGUAUCAUUGGCAUGCAGAAAAUACAUAAAUACACUUUCCAGGCUUCACAGUCUUGAAAAAUAAUUGAUGCUUUGCAUAAUUAUCUGAUAGAUACUUACAGAUAGAUGGCUUCAUAUUCUUUUAUGCCCUCUAAUUUCUGUACAAUGUUCAUGAUCACUUGGAUUUAGUGCAUACUGAAGCCCUGAUUCCCGGGAAGUGGCUGGACACUGCCUGCUGAUGGGAAGUAGAGAAUAAAUAUUUUGUUUUCAUUUGCUUCCACACGACCUUUGCUUUUG
Molecule: non-coding RNA, 1264 nt
Organism: Cyanistes caeruleus (blue tit)
Lineage: Eukaryota; Metazoa; Chordata; Aves; Passeriformes; Paridae
Source: RefSeq, a predicted model, not a curated record